AUGAACGCUGGCGGCGUGCCUAAUCCAUGCAAGUCGCGCGAACAGACGAGGAGCUUGCUCCUCUAACGUUAGCGGCGGACGGGUGAGUAACACGUUGAUAACCUACCUAUAAUACUGGGAUAACUUCGGGAAACCGGAGCUAAUACCGGAUAAUAUAUUGAACCGCCUGGUUCAAUAGUGAAAGACGGUUUUGCUGUCACUUAUAGAUGGAUCCGCGCCGCAUUAGCUAGUUGGUAAGGUAACGGCUUACCAAGGCGACGAUGCGUAGCCGACCUGAGAGGGUGAUCGGCCACACUGGAACUGAGACACGGUCCAGACUCCUACGGGAGGCAGCAGUAGGGAAUCUUCCGCAAUGGGCGAAAGCCUGACGGAGCAACGCCGCGUGAGUGAUGAAGGUCUUCGGAUCGUAAAACUCUGUUAUUAGGGAAGAACAAAUGUGUAAGUAAAUAUGCACGUCUUGACGGUACCUAAUCAGAAAGCCACGGCUAACUACGUG
Molecule: ribosomal RNA, 496 nt
Filed under: uncultured bacterium
Lineage: Bacteria
Description: partial 16S ribosomal RNA
Rfam family: Bacterial small subunit ribosomal RNA
Source: RNAcentral